GACGAACGCUGGCGGCGUGCUUAACACAUGCAAGUCGAACGGAAAGGCCCUGCUUUUGUGGGGUGCUCGAGUGGCGAACGGGUGAGUAACACGUGAGUAACCUGCCCUUGACUUUGGGAUAACUUCAGGAAACUGGGGCUAAUACCGGAUAGGAGCUCCUGCUGCAUGGUGGGGGUUGGAAAGUUUCGGCGGUUGGGGAUGGACUCGCGGCUUAUCAGCUUGUUGGUGGGGUAGUGGCUUACCAAGGCUUUGACGGGUAGCCGGCCUGAGAGGGUGACCGGCCACAUUGGGACUGAGAUACGGCCCAGACUCCUACGGGAGGCAGCAGUGGGGAAUAUUGCACAAUGGGCGGAAGCCUGAUGCAGCAACGCCGCGUGCGGGAUGACGGCCUUCGGGUUGUAAACCGCUUUCGCCUGUGACGAAGCGUGAGUGACGGUAAUGGGUAAAGAAGCACCGGCUAACUACGUGCCAGCAGCCGCGGUGAUACGUAGGGUGCGAGCGUUGUCCGGAUUUAUUGGGCGUAAAGGGCUCGUAGGUGGUUGAUCGCGUCGGAAGUGUAAUCUUGGGGCUUAACCCUGAGCGUGCUUUCGAUACGGGUUGACUUGAGGAAGGUAGGGGAGAAUGGAAUUCCUGGUGGAGCGGUGGAAUGCGCAGAUAUCAGGAGGAACACCAGUGGCGAAGGCGGUUCUCUGGGCCUUUCCUGACGCUGAGGAGCGAAAGCGUGGGGAGCGAACAGGCUUAGAUACCCUGGUAGUCCACGCUGUAAACGGUGGGUACUAGGUGUGGGGCCCAUUCCACGGGUUCCGUGCCGUAGCUAGCGCUUUAAGUACCCCGCCUGGGGAGUACGGCCGCAAGGCUAAAACUCAAAGGAAUUGACGGGGCCCCGCACAAGCGGCGGAGCAUGCGGAUUAAUUCGAUGCAACGCGUAGAACCUUACCUGGGUUUGACAUGGAUCGGGAGUGCUCAGAGAUGGGUGUGCCUCUUUUGGGGUCGGUUCACAGGUGGUGCAUGGCUGUCGUCAGCUCGUGUCGUGAGAUGUUGGGUUAAGUCCCGCAACGAGCGCAACCCUUGUUCACUGUUGCCAGCACGUUAUGGUGGGGACUCAGUGGAGACCGCCGGGGUCAACUCGGAGGAAGGUGGGGAUGACGUCAAGUCAUCAUGCCCCUUAUGUCCAGGGCUUCACGCAUGCUACAAUGGCUGGUACAGAGAGUGGCGAGCCUGUGAGGGUGAGCGAAUCUCGGAAAGCCGGUCUCAGUUCGGAUUGGGGUCUGCAACUCGACCUCAUGAAGUCGGAGUCGCUAGUAAUCGCAGAUCAGCAACGCUGCGGUGAAUACGUUCCCGGGGCU
RNAcentral lists this ribosomal RNA (1346 nucleotides) under uncultured bacterium. RNAcentral's name for it is "partial 16S ribosomal RNA". It matches the Rfam family "Bacterial small subunit ribosomal RNA", at positions 28 to 1381 of the family's 1533-position model. The record is from RNAcentral.